Molecule: ribosomal RNA, 538 nt
Filed under: Acinetobacter johnsonii
Lineage: Bacteria; Pseudomonadati; Pseudomonadota; Gammaproteobacteria; Moraxellales; Moraxellaceae
Description: bacterial SSU rRNA
Rfam family: Bacterial small subunit ribosomal RNA
Source: RNAcentral
GGCUACUUGGAUUAAUACUCUAGGAUAGUGGACGUUACUCGCAGAAUAAGCACCGGCUAACUCUGUGCCAGCAGCCGCGGUAAUACAGAGGGUGCGAGCGUUAAUCGGAUUUACUGGGCGUAAAGCGUGCGUAGGCGGCUUCUUAAGUCGGAUGUGAAAUCCCUGAGCUUAACUUAGGAAUUGCAUUCGAUACUGGGAAGCUAGAGUAUGGGAGAGGAUGGUAGAAUUCCAGGUGUAGCGGUGAAAUGCGUAGAGAUCUGGAGGAAUACCGAUGGCGAAGGCAGCCAUCUGGCCUAAUACUGACGCUGAGGUACGAAAGCAUGGGGAGCAAACAGGAUUAGAUACCCUGGUAGUCCAUGCCGUAAACGAUGUCUACUAGCCGUUGGGGCCUUUGAGGCUUUAGUGGCGCAGCUAACGCGAUAAGUAGACCGCCUGGGGAGUACGGUCGCAAGACUAAAACUCAAAUGAAUUGACGGGGGCCCGCACAAGCGGUGGAGCAUGUGGUUUAAUUCGAUGCAACGCGAAGAACCUUACCUGG